This 206-nucleotide ribosomal RNA is filed under the name uncultured bacterium. RNAcentral describes it as "partial 16S ribosomal RNA". It matches the Rfam family "Bacterial small subunit ribosomal RNA", at positions 1295 to 1500 of the family's 1533-position model. The record is from RNAcentral.
GGAUUGUAGUCUGCAACCCGACUACAUGAAGCUGGAAUCGCUAGUAACCGCGAAUCAGAAUGUCGCGGUGAAUACGUUCCCGGGUCUUGUACACACCGCCCGUCACACCAUGGGAGUCGGAAAUGCCCGAAGUCAGUGACCCAACCGUAAGGAGGGAGCUGCCGAAGGUGGAGCCGGUAACUGGGGUGAAGUCGUAACAAGGUAGC